Molecule: unclassified non-coding RNA, 862 nt
Filed under: Hevea brasiliensis (rubber tree)
Lineage: Eukaryota; Viridiplantae; Streptophyta; Magnoliopsida; Malpighiales; Euphorbiaceae
Source: RNAcentral
AUGAAUAUCGCCAGUGCCUUCUAUCAUACGUACGCUUCUUAGCUAGAGAAGCAGAUGAGUCUCGAUUGCGAGAGCUCUGUGAAAGUUUUCUUGGACCUCCCACUGGGAUGGCUGAAUCUACAUCUUCAAAUGCGAAGGAUUUGACUUGGGAUCCUUGUGUUCUUGGAAUGAAAAAGCACAAACUCUUAAGAGAAGAUAUUCUUCCUUCGAUGGCAUCAAAUAGAAAAGUCCAACGUUUACUCAACGAAUUCAUGAAUCUCCUGUCUGAAUAUGGAAGUGCUGAAACUAAUCUUGAUAAAAAAAAUUCAAUGCAACCAACUACAUCUCAACCAGAAACUAAUGAAAUGGACCUUGACCAAUCAGCAUCAGAUCAAAAUAACUCCCUCGCGCCAGUGAUGGAUCAAACAAACUCUACCCAACGAGCAACAGAUAACAAGGAUUCUGUCCCUAUCACCAUAAAUGAAACCAGCUCUACUCCACUAGCAAGUGAUCAAGUAGAUUCAGGUCCAAUAUUGACAGAUCAAGUUAUUCCAGACUCACCAGCUACAGAUACUGGUUCCUGAAUUCUUGAGCUUCUUACCAAUGGUAUUAAUCUUGAAAGAACAUUAGCAGGCUAAAAUGUGGUGUUACUAAAGUGGAUAUAGGUGCAUGUAUAUCACCAUCAAUGGCUUUCUGCAAAGUGACCCUCCAAGGUAUUUGAAAUGAUGAAUCCUUCCCAUUUGAGUAUCUGGUGCAUGUCUUUAGUUAUUCUUUGAAGUUGCACAUUGGAGUGUAACAGAGAAUCUCACUGUUUAACCUUAGCUAAAGGAUUUUGAAUGACUUUCCAACUACAGCUUUUGUAAUCAAUCUAAUUCAUAUUAAA